Molecule: unclassified non-coding RNA, 225 nt
Filed under: Hevea brasiliensis (rubber tree)
Lineage: Eukaryota; Viridiplantae; Streptophyta; Magnoliopsida; Malpighiales; Euphorbiaceae
Source: RNAcentral
AGUCCAAUCGCAAGAUCCGCCACAUCCUCCGUCAACACAUCGGGCGUAUUCGUAACCCUAAUCCCCUUCUCCUUGCACUUGGCGAGAUCAACCUUAUCGAGCCCGACGCUGAAGCAGGCGACGAUUUCCAGUCGCGGCAGCGCCUCGAUCAUCUCGGCGUCCGCACCGGACGAGGCGUUGCCAACGAUCGCGCGGAUGGAAUCGGCGUGGGAGCGGAGGAAGCUG